Esox lucius (northern pike) is the source of this 1154-nucleotide long non-coding RNA. The record is from Ensembl. Lineage: Eukaryota; Metazoa; Chordata; Actinopteri; Esociformes; Esocidae.
UAUCUGUAUAUGAAGAGAUGUGAAAUGGUGGUCCACAUUUUUUUUGAUAGUACUGACAUAUCUGUCUUUUGCCCCCCAACCCCCUCCACACACAACCUUUAAUUCCACAGCCACAGUGACCAUCUGUAAUGCUACUCAGAAGUCAUCACAGUGUUUUGUGGCUUUGGGUGGAACUCUGGAUCUUAAGCUAAUGAACAAUGACAGGGGAUGUGAGCUGCAGUUUAAAAAGAACCGUACUCAAGGUCCUGAACAGAUAUUCAUCAUGAAAAAAAACAAAGUGUCCAUCAAAGGACCCACUGAAGGUAGAUCAGAGUUCUUUAUGAACAAUGGGACCUUCAGGUUAACCAAUGUUGAGAGGGCUGAUUCUGGACAAUACUUCCUGGAGGUCUACAAUUCUGAUGGGUCAAGUUUAGGAACCAGAAUAAUACAACUGGAUAUCAAAGGCAAGUAACAAAAUAGUAAUAUUAACAUAUUUGUUUGUGUACCUUUUUCUAUUGUUUAAUAUGGUUAAAAUAAUAGUGAUAAUAAUGAUGAACUUAAAACAGAUUUAUACUGAUGUAAGUAGUUGUGCAGUCAAAUGCUUAUGGCUCUUUAUGCAUGAGGCUUGUGCUACCAUUACCUUUAUGAAUGUUUCCAUUUGGCACAACACAGCAGUUAUUUGGAGAGAUGUAAAAUGUUUGCCAUAAUGUCUUUCAUUGAGAUGCUUCUGAUAUGAUUGAAUUACACUGUUCUGCUUCUCUGUUUCUCCAUCUACCUGAAUGUCCGUCCCUCACCAAAGGGGCAAGUUUAGAAACCAAAAAAAUACAACUGGAUGUCAAAGGCAAGUAACAUUAAAUCAAUGGUUCCAAUUAUUCAGUAAAAUGCAUAAAAUUGGUUUUACAAUUACUUAGUAAGACUUUUUAUAUUCAACACAACACAGAAAUAACAAAUAGAGAUGUCAGCACCCAUGUCUUUCAUUGAGAUACCACUGACAUGAUUACAUUACGCUUUUCUGUUUUCUUGUCUAUCUGUUGGUAUGUCUGUCCCACACACAAGGGACAAGUUUAGGAACCAGAGAAAUAAAACUGGACAUCAAAGGCAAGUAUCAUUAUAUUAAUGUGACCACCUGUAAUGCUACGCAGAAGUCAUCACAGUGUUUUGUGGCUUUGGGUGGA